GAACUGGAUGAAUUUGUCUCUGAAGAAGCUGGACAUGGUGAUGUGUCACGUUAGACCACUGAUGAACUUUAAACUACAUCUUUGGGAGCUUAUUCCAUAUCUUGUGAUGGAUCAGAAGAGAUGAAAAUAUGUUUCUGUCAGUCUGAAUAAAUGUUCUGAGUCUGUUGGAUGGAUGACA
Calypte anna (Anna's hummingbird) is the source of this 178-nucleotide long non-coding RNA. RefSeq lists it as uncharacterized. NCBI's taxonomy places the organism in Eukaryota, Metazoa, Chordata, Aves, Apodiformes, Trochilidae. The transcript has 2 exons. The record is from RefSeq and is a predicted model, not a curated record.